RNAcentral lists this unclassified non-coding RNA (388 nucleotides) under fungal sp. RNAcentral describes it as "partial internal transcribed spacer region". The stretch from base 1 to 46 matches the Rfam family "Eukaryotic small subunit ribosomal RNA", at positions 1786 to 1831 of the family's 1831-position model. The record is from RNAcentral. Lineage: Eukaryota; Fungi.
AAGUCGUAACAAGGUUUCCGUAGGUGAACCUGCGGAAGGAUCAUUAUCAACGUUAUCCACGCACUAACCAUUACCAAAAAAAUGUGAACUGUCUCGGAUCCUCUGAGAGAAAGCGGUUGGGAAGUGCGAUUUUCCUGCCAUUUGAUGUGUUUGGAAAAACGCUGUCUUUUCUCAGAGUGUAUUUCUUUUUUCUAACUACACUUCCUACAACUAUUUUUUUUAACCAAUUGAACCAAAACAUACAAUUACUUCUUUUCUGUGAACUGAAUUGUCAUUCCUUUUUCUGCCUUUUGCUUCGCUUUAUUGUCGAAUGCAAAAGGAAUGAAGAGGAUGAUUCAAUUUACGAAACAAAUAAGAACAACUCUUAGCAACGGAUAUCUUGGUUCUC